RNAcentral lists this ribosomal RNA (199 nucleotides) under uncultured bacterium. Its description in RNAcentral is "partial 16S ribosomal RNA". It matches the Rfam family "Bacterial small subunit ribosomal RNA", at positions 1302 to 1500 of the family's 1533-position model. The record is from RNAcentral.
AGUCUGCAACCCGACUACACGAAGCCGGAAUCGCUAGUAAUCGCGGAUCAGAAUGCCGCGGUGAAUACGUUCCCGGGUCUUGUACACACCGCCCGUCACACCAUGGGAGUUGGGAGCACCCGAAGCCGGUGAGUUGACCGCAAGGGGACAGCCGUCGAAGGUGAGACUGAUGACUGGGGUGAAGUCGUAACAAGGUACC